This 1025-nucleotide long non-coding RNA is filed under the name Struthio camelus australis. Its description in RNAcentral is "lncRNA (ENSSCUG00000000405.1)". Lineage: Eukaryota; Metazoa; Chordata; Aves; Struthioniformes; Struthionidae. The record is from RNAcentral.
GACUUUGGCUACUGCCAUAGCUGGUCCUAACCUGGACAUUCUUCUCUGGCUACUUCUACUCUAACUUUUGCUUGGACCCUCAGCAGUUAGGCCUCCAGAUAAAAUAUGUCAGGUGCCAAGAAGUUCCAACCUCAAUUACUCUAUAACAAAAGGAAAAUUUGAAAAUAUAGCGUGGAUAAGUUUGCAAUUUUGACAAAUCACAUUGCAGCGCAGCAGAAGUUGCGUUCUCUAGUUGCCCCCUUAGUUCGAAUUGAAAUACUUGCUUAGAAAAGGUGUAACUGUUUGCAGGCAACAGUCCACUAUGCAGGAUAAGUGAGGCAAAUGGAAUGAGAUAAUUUAAGCAUUCAUAAGUUAUACCAGCCGACUGUUUGAUCUUUAAAUAUCUAAAUGUCUGAAAUGGAAAAUAUUUUAAUGACUCAUCAUAAAUUGUACUUGCAAAGUUAAUAUAGGGGGAACGUAAAAUGCAAGACUGCAGAGGGUUUACGUAGGGUAUUUUGUUUUUUCUGUAGUCAAUUCAGAAAUGUUACACGAUGAAGAAAUACUUUGGAGAAAUCUGCUAAAGAAAAACAGAAGUAUCCAAAACUUUUUCCAGCCACCAUAAAUCUAGGAAAAACAGUGUCUGCUAUUGAGAAAAAGACCGUUUCCACGAUUAGCAACCGAAAGUGGAAAGAGACCGUUAUGAAAAGUAAGCAAUCUAUCUGCCUUUGACCUCAUGCAAGCAGGUUUGUGUACUACCAGCAUUGAGCACCACUAUAGUGCAGCAACUCGAUCAUCUGCAGCAAAGCUUUUCUGCUGCAGAAACUGAAGCAAUAUAGAUCCUUGGUUGAAGUCUGAUGUAAAUACAGGAAGCUUUCCGCGAUGUAGACCUACACUGUCGGAAGACAGACUCCACGUUUCUUCUGUCUGUGGUGAUGGUACUUACCUAAUGAAUUGAAUUUGCUCUACAUCUCUGCCCAUUUCAUCUGUAGUUUGCAAGUAAUUCGUUUCCCCAGGAACACUGACAUUGCAGAGUAAGCAGCUUUCAA